Long non-coding RNA from Frieseomelitta varia, 3280 nucleotides. RefSeq lists it as uncharacterized. The transcript has 4 exons. The record is from RefSeq and is a predicted model, not a curated record. NCBI's taxonomy places the organism in Eukaryota, Metazoa, Arthropoda, Insecta, Hymenoptera, Apidae.
GACCGUGGGGGAGAGACGGAUCGAGCAGGGAGAGAGCAGGAAAGAGAACGACAAAGGGAGCGAGCGAAAAGGUAGAGAAGCGAGGUACCGGCGGAGCAACACACAGAAGCGGCAGAGGGAACGGGUGCAGUAGCGAGUGCAAACGCAAAAGCGCCCUCGCUUGCUCCCGCGCGAUGCAAAGACGGGAUAUAAAUAAGCGGCUGUCGUUUGCGGAAGCAGAAAACGGGCAAAAGGACAGAAAUAAAGAAGAAGUCGCAGAAGAAAGGGAGGCAGUGACAGAGAGAGGAAUAAAUAAGCCGGGGGCCGUGGAGAGCGAGAGGACGAGGCAAAAGUAGGAGCUGGAGCAGUAGCAACGGGCAACAGCAGCAGCAGCAGCAGCAGCAGCAGCAACAACCAGCAACGGUUCCACCGUUGACUCCCUCUUGCCGCUUGGACGACCAACGUCCCGAUCUACUACUUUUGCGGUGUACGACCGUCCUCGCAUUGAAAACUUUUCAGCCUGUGUCCUGUGCCUCCUCUACGAACGCGGCAGGUGUACUUCUGUCUCGUUAUCCGGAAGGCCUCUUCCUCCACACGACAGCGACGCGUUCGAGUAGAAGUCGUAGAUCACUUCGAGGAUGUUUCGAAUGGAUUUUAAAGGACAAGUGAUUUUGUCGUGGGAGGAACGGGACGGGAGAUCCAUUUAACGAUCUCCGUAACGUUAAUGAAUGUAUUAGGGCGGUAAAUGAAAGAGCCGAGGACAAGGGGAGGAGUUGCGUGCCGACGAACAGCAACGAUUCUGCGCAUGCUCGCUGCGCAACGCGUCCAGGUGGAUUCUGCUCGAUCUCUGUGUAACCAGAGGAGAGGAACGGUGUUCUUCCGGUGUUGCUGCGUUUCUAGAAAUCCCCAGCCUCAGCGGUUGGAUCUGCCGGUAUCGCGGCGAGUUAUCCACGACCGGAUCUAGAUACUAUUCAUGCUAAGCCGCAUAUCUGCAUACGCAUCGAGACACUUUUCGAAAGCACGUUACGCAGCAGCCGCAGUGGCACCACGUGCAUACGAGAGGCAACCUGCAUCCUCGGUGUGUGUACGGCGGGACGAGGCGACGCUCGCAUGUACACGUACACACACACGUGCACACGUUGGCCGUAUGCUCGCUGUGAAACAGAACACAACAGAACAGAACAGAACAGAAGAGAGCAGAACGGAACGGAACGGAGCAGAGCGGAACCGAAUGAAACGGAACAGAAGCGAACGCAGUAGAGAAGCGCAGGCUGACUGCGCGGCCGCAGCAUGUUUAUUGGCGCAUCUUGGAGUCUUAAAUCUUUAUGUUGUCUCCUCGACGGGGUCUGCUAUCUCCCCUGUCCCAUUGGCGGGAUGGGAGGAGAAGGGAGAAUCAGCACAACUACGGAAGGGGUGAGAGGGACGGGAACAAAGAGGAAACGAAUCGGCACAGCCGUGGGUAAGCGAGACCGAGGAACGGAUGAGUAACAAAAAGAAACGAAAAGAGGCUAGGGAAAGAACGAGAGGGAAGGAAAUCGGGAGAGAUAUAUCUCUUGAGUUGCGGUCGCGAAAUCGAGUCAAGAGUCGGACAACCAACGACCAAGACGCAUCCACUGCAUUACGCACACAGAAGCCGCGAUCUUAACGUGCCUCUAGAAAUGGUCGUUUGCAGUUGUACAGAGAAAACCCACGUGGUGAAGGUACCAGGCAAGAAUUAUUAAUGGCUGUAGGUGUCUACGAGCGCGAAGAUUGCCGCUUUUAGCCAGAUGUGAUAGAAAUUGCGUCAUAUGAGAUUGACUCAACGCGCACCCCUUGUAUCUAUGCUUUUACAUAUUGCAACUGCCGAUGGCAAUUGACCAUCAGAUUGUAAAUCGACGAAUAUUCUACUACAAUUUGAUUCGCUCGUAACAAGGAUGACUCUUAUCUGUGCAAAAAUCUGUUUGUCUAAGCAAAGAAGAAGUAUAUGAGCAUCUUCAAUAUUUGUUCAAUACGUUAAUUCUUUUAAACGUUGUAAUAAUAAUAUCCAGGGGAAAUUGAUUUUUAUUCAACAAUGAGUAGAAUAGAAUAUAAAUUACUUUUUUUAAUAUCGAUUAAACCAUGUUUCAGGCUAUUUGAAUGCAUCAUUAUCUAAAAAAAAUUGCAAAAUUUGACAAGUUCUACGAGUUUCAUAAUUAAUUAUUAAGAAAUUAAACACAAGAACUGCGGGAGUUAGAAAACCGACGCUCGUUGAUAAAAGGAAAUGGUUAACAUUUUUUGUUAUCUUAAUUAACAAGGGGAAGUGGAAUGCACUGGGAAGGAUAAUGGUUUGUAGACGGUUCGCAAUAACGGCCGUGGAAUCUCGUAAAAUACAAUUAAUUAUGAAAUCAAUAUACCGCACCGAGCUUUAUGGAUAAUGCGGCUUGCCGUUUUUUCAUCACGCGAUAAAAAUAUGUUGAAGCAAAGAACUUAUAAGCUCGAUUAAUCAUUCGUUCUAUGAAGCGUGAAAUUAAUAUUAUUAUAUUAUAAUGAUACGUUGAAGUAAACAUUUACAAGCUUGAUUAAUUAUUCGUUUUACACGAGGUUACUGUCAUUUAAAUCGUGAUUUAUAUUUAGUGUUGGUAAUAUGAAAUACGAAUAACGAUCGACACAAAAAUUUCUGAAUUAUUGCAGUAAGGAAGACGUCAAGCUGAAAACCGCUGUUUCGGUAGGGGGUGUCUGUUACCAUCUCUGACGAACGUUGUACGACUCCCACAUGUGCACGCGUGCACGCGUGUAUUUACUGUACGCGCAGUACCCUAUUCCCGGUACGUAAGGAAACGUGGGCGUGAAGGUACUUUCGUGCAUUGCUGCUGACAUAACAGUGGUUAAUUAAACGGCACUGCAAACACGUGCUGAUACCAUCAAGGAAAUAUACAUAUCACCAGCCAAUGUGAAAGAUGCGUGGAAAAUGAAAAAGGAAGAGAAACUUGCGGCCGUCUGUUCGUGUCAAGCGGCGCUAUGAAUAAAUGCGCUGCGAUUUCCCCUUAAUUUACACGAGGUGGCGCCACUGCAACAUAAGUAGUCGCGAUAACUGAUCGAUAUGAAGAUUUGGGAAUUUACGUGUCGCUUGAUUUCAAUAGGCUAAUACAGUCUAUUAGUACAGUCUACCGUGAACUUUGAUCGAACGCAUUCGAUAAAAAAGAACAAUCUCCGUGACUUCGUGAUUAUCGUAUUGUAUAGUUAUUUUUACUUUGAUAGAAGGUUCUCAUCGAAAAAAAACACUGAUUAUACUAGUUCCUCGAUUUGCGUGGUCGCGGCGUUUAUUAUAUAUUUGUUACAUAUU